AUCCUUUGCAUUGGUCUUGGAUGACUUGAGAUGGACUCUCCUACUUAAAAUUUUCCUCCAUUGGAGUUCCCUUCGUGGCUCAGGAGUCAGCAAACCUGAUGAGCAUCCAUGAAGAUGCAGGUUCAACCCCUGGCCUCACUCUGUGGGUUAAGGAUCCAGCGUUGCCACGAGCUGUGGUAUAUAGGUUGUGGAUGCGGCCCAGAUCCCUCAUUGUUGUGGCAGUGGCAUAGGCCGGCAGCUGCAGCUCCGAUUCGCCUCCUAGCCUGCGAACCUCCAUGUGCCAUGAGUGCAGCCCUAAGAAGCAAAAAAGAAUUUUUUCCCUCAUUGGAUUAAUAUUUAAAGCUUGAUAAUAGUACUGCUAUUAGGAGUUCCUGAUGUGGCACAGUGGGUAAGAAUCUGACUGCAAUAGCUAGGUCACUGUGGAGCUGCAGGUUUGAUCACUGGCCCACUGCAGUGGGUUUCAAGGAUUUGGCAUUGCAGCAGCUGUGGCUCAGACUCAAUCCCUGGCCCAGGAAUUCCAUAUGCUGUGAGUGUGGCUGUUAAAAAAAAAAUACUGCUACUAGCAGUACCCACCCCCACCCACCACUGAAUCAAUACUAUGUAUUAUGUAUAGGAGAUACCAGAUUACAUAUAUUAUUUAAUCCUAAGUCCUUUUUUAGAAUGAACAUAACUAUCACAUUUUAGGGAUAAAGUAAACAGGAGCUUUGAAAGGUUAAAUGAUUUAAUCAAGCCAAACUGGGAUUAGCAUCUCAGAUUUCAGGGUACCUCAUGCCAUGCCUCGCCCACUAUUCCACACCACCUGUGCUCUACCAUGUCGUGUUCAUAUUAAAAUGCAGAAACAUGAGCAGAUUUCCAGGAUGCAAGGACACAAUCAUCGCAUGAUUCCUUUGGGAUAAAUCUAAUCUGGUCGCCCAAACCUUGGAAGGUGUAAAUUGUGUAAUAAUAAUUGAUGAGGGCCCCCAUCUCCUCAGGUCUCGCCAGCCCAGGUCCGUUUCCCUAUGGAAGUCACCAAGCCCCUUGGCAUCAUCACUCUUCAAAGAAUUAGGAACAAGAAGGAGCAUACGUCACCUGAUGCCAUUAAAUGCGAUUUGAAUGGAUUUUCUAAUGUUUCAAAGUACUUUCUUGCAGACAGCUAAGAAAUUCAUAAAACCAGCCAUGAGCAUGCUAUUGCCUGUAAGUGUAAACAGUUAUGAUAGAAGAGUGACUGCGUCCACCCGGAGAGCCUUUGAAGAGGAGACUGAGAGAGGGACCAGGGCUCCUUUGAUCAUCCCCACGCAAAUCCCCGAUAGCUGACAGAAAGCUGCUUUAGGUUGUGCCCUGUUUUCUUUUUAAAGUGCAUAGGGAACAGCUCAUUAAGAAGUAAUACUGUCCUUUUGAGGAUUUUUUUUUUCUUAAAUUGGAAACAAUUAUGGGAGUUAGACUCUUCCUUUUUUUUUUUAAUAUAAAUUUUCUCUGUGACUCUUCCUCUGAAAAAUUCCUUUAGAGGUCAGAACAACAAACCAAUGCUGUUAGCUUCUGGAUUUGUUUAUCAGGUUGGCUCAGAGUCCCCCUUCCUUUCUCUCCGUCUUGUGUGUAAUUAGACAAAAGAAGCCCCAAACGUGGAAUACCUCAUUUCGUAUUCCUUGGGCUUCAGUAGAGGCGCACCAAAUGGUCUCCCAACUCAGCGGAAGGAGGUAGAAUGUUUCAGUUAGGAAUCUUAUCUGGGAGUUCCCGCUGUGGCUCAGCAGUUAUUGAACCUGACUAGCAUCCACUGAGGAUACAGUUUCCAUCCCUGGCCUUGCUCAGUGGGUUAAGGAUCUGGUGUUGCCGUGAGCUGUGGUGUAGGUCGCAGACGCGGCUCGGAUCCUGUCUUUUGUGGCUGUGGUGUAGACUGUCAGCUACAGCUCAGAUUCGACCCCUAGCCUGGGAAUCUCCAUAUGCCGUGGGUGUGGCCCUGAAAAAAAAAAAGGAAUCUUUUCUGCUUGUCCGUUUCAUUUUCUUCGACCUGUUUCUCCAAGCAAUUCCCUCCUGACGUCCUGUACUUCGCUGACCAUGGUGAUGGGUCACCGGUUGUCAGGCGAGGUGGGGUUGAUGGGUCACCGGUUGUCAGGCGAGGUGGGGUCCCUUGUUGGUUGCUUCCCUUUGGCCCUCUCAGAUUAUUUGGAAGAGUGAUAGAAUUCUGCACAGAGAGUAGUGGUACCCCCCCCAACCAGAGAGCGAAGAAGGACUGGCUUUGCCCCCAGACCCCUUCCUCCGCCCAGAACACCCUCCUCCCCUUCUCCACCCGUAUCUUAAAGGCACAGCUUGACCACCACCUCUCCCCUGACGACCCACUCCCACCAGCAGGCAUCGCAGAACUUUUCAGAGCUUUUGACAAUCAUCAAACCCACAGAAAAGACCAGGACUUAAUUAUUCUCUAAUUACUAUUUUUUUCUUUUGGCCCCCCCGUAGCAUAUGGAGUUCCUGGGCCUGGGAUCAGAUCUGAGCCACAAGUGUGACCUAAACCGAAGCUGUGGAAAUGCUGGAUCCUUAAUCCACUGUGCGGGGCUGGGGAUCGAACCUGUGUCCCAAUGCUCCCAACUGCUGAUCCCAUAUCGUCACAGUGGGAACUCCUCUAAUUAUUUUUGGAUCAUGUCGUUUGCAAUUAUUUGUUUCUUUAUUAAUUGAAUACCAUCCUUAGGGUCUCUCGGGUUACAUUUUUGUUUGUUGGUUUUUGUUUUUCAGGGUUGCACCUACGGCAUAUGGAGGUUCCCAGACCAGGGGCUGAAUUGGAGCUACAGCUGAUGGCCUAUGCCACACUCACGGCAACUUGGGACCAAGGCAUGUCUUCGACCUACACCACAGCUCCUGGCAACACUGGAUCCUUAACCCACUGAGCGAGGCCAGGGAUCAAACCUGCAUCCUCUUGGAUAUUAGUUGGGUUCAUUAACCACUGAGACACAACGGGAACUCCCAGCUUUCAGGGUUAAAUUGAAGAUGAAGAACACACAGUCCAGGCCCUUCAGAACCUGCCAGUUUCCUGGGGGUGGCAGAAAAGUCAAUAGCUUUUGCAGCCCUGGAGGAUAACGCUCCUUACAUUCGAGUUUGAACCUCAUCCCCUCCCCCUAACUAACUUGUUUCUCAACGUAUUGAUGUUAGUUAAUAGUAACAGUAGUGAGUCCUGAAGACUUGACAUCUCAAGUCCAGACCCUUGGGGUCCCCUCUGCCUCGGCCUUCUCCCCACGCUCAGGUUGAGUUAUUAAUGACCAAGUCAGCACCCCUAGAACCUGAAGAGCACUUCUGGGCCCUUACUCACGUUGUCCCUCUGCCUCAAUAUUCUCCUUUAUUUUAUUUAUUUAUUUUUUGGCCGCACCCGUGGCAUGAGAAAAUUCCUGGGCGGGGUAUUGAAUGCCAGAGCGAUGACAAUGCCAGAUCCUUAGCCACUAGGCAACCAGGGAACUCCCUGAAUAUUCUCCUUUAGUCUGGUGAGAUCAAAAGAAUCCUUUCUAUGAGGACUAAUGCAAUGUCCAGGAAAAGUUUGCAUGGGGUCUGUAUGAGUCAUGACUAUAGAAGAAAACCCAACUCAAACUGCCUUAAAUAAUAAAUGAACUUUAUUGGCUAUUAGCAGGAGGGAAGGACUAGCUUCGGGUGAGACUUGAUCCAAGGCUCCAAUCAUCUUAUCAGGAGUUAGUUUCUUUCUCCAUUUCUUGCUUUCCUUUGGUGCUGACGCUAAUUUUUAAUUUUUUUAAUUUUAAAUUUAAAAUUUUUAAUUGAAAAAUUUAAUUUUUAAAGUAAUUUUUAAAAAAUUUUGAUUUAAUUCCAGUAGUCUCUCCCCUCUGGUUCCAAGAUGGUAGCUGCAACUUCUUUGGCUCUGUAGGUCCUGCUUAAGUCUGGAAGGAAUUGGAGAUACUCUCUUUCUCAGGAGUCUUUGUGGAAGUGUCACUGAGUGCUGACUCAGACUGGAUCAUGUGCCCACCCUGGCCUAACCACUGAGGCCAGGAGAAGGAUCAUUUAGAGUGGCCUAUGCCAAUAGCGAUUUGGCCUAGCCUUGGCAGUGAGGUCAAGACUAUUCAAGCCAUAGCAGGGAGUAAUUUUCCAAAGAAAAUUCAGGGAACUGCUGCUAGUUGAGUGUGGAGAUGCUGAGGAAGGAAUAAAUAAAUGUCCCUUUAAAGGCCCAACCCAUGAAUGCUUUGAUGACACGAUGCAAGUUCGGACUGAAUGAUGGCAGCUGUGGGAAGCCAGCAGGAUCUUUAGUCAAUUAUUUUCAGAUCUCUCUCUCUUAAUUAUUGGGAAUAAUAGUGAUGAAGGAAAGGAGAGAUUUUAGAAACAGGUAGGAUAUUAAAGCGUAUAAUGAUAUGUAAUAAAAAUAUGUAAAGAGUAUAAUAAUAUCUAAAAUGUCACAGCCUUUUUUUUUUUCUCUUUUUACCUGUGGCAUUAUGAAGGUUCCUGGGCGAGGAGUCAAAUUGGAGCUGCAGCUGUGGCCUACACCACAGCCAUGGCAACACCAGAUCUGCACCACAUCUGCGACCUCUGAGUGAGGCCAGAGGUUGAACCUGCAUCCUCACAGAGACAGCAGUGGGUCCUUAAACCACUAAGCCACAACGGGAACUCCUGGCAGUUCUUUUGGGAAAGAAUAAAACCAGGGUUCUGUCACGGCAAAUGGAGCAUUCAAGGUUAAAUAAACCCAACACAUGAAUAAGUGAUAUGUAUUAACGCCCUUCUGGCUCUCAUUAAGGAAUAUCUCAGUAUUAGAAACAGGUCCCUUGUUCACUGCUCUUUUCAUUUUAUUUAGGGAUUUUAGAGUAAAGGAAUCAAUGUUUCCUACAGUCUUUAUCAGGCAAUUAAGAACAAAGAGCUCCUCCAAGAGGAAGGUGCCAUGGAAAACUCGUCCUCACCUACCUUACAGCUCUGUCCUCCUGGAGACUAGUAAACAGUUAACUGUCUAAUGGUUAUCCUUUCUCCUCUAUUUAUUUUUAUUAAUGAAGGAAUUAGAGACCUGCCUCUUUCAACAGAGACUAACAAUCUGAGGGACAUUAGAAUCUCAGCAUGUUAGCGCUAGCAGCAACCAGCCAAGGUGACUCACCUGAUGAGAAAAUAGAUAGGGCGAGAGAAGUGACAAGUGCGGAAGCUGUGUGGAGGGUCAGUGGCUAAGCUUUAGGUCUUUGAAGAGCCUGUUUGGGGCUUGAUCCUCAUUUGCUGUUUCUCUUCCCACCUCGUGUAGGAUCUCAGGGGCAGCUACUGGGACGUGUAAGCUGGAGAAGAUGCCUGCCAAUCAGUGGUGAUGGAGAGGUGCACCUUGAAGGUUGCAGUUUGAGUCCCUGAUGCCCCUGUGGGUACCAGGGACUCUGUCCUGCAGAGGGUGCCAGCGCUCCUCAUUUCUUGAAGCACCUGAGCAGGUUAAAGGCUGGGGUGGUCAGCUGUGCUGUGAAAUUUCCACAGUGGUUACUUGGAGACAAAAGAGAGGCCCCCUAUCCAGAUGAGGAACAUGAGGCCAGGGGAAUCAGCUCUGUUUCAAAGAAGAUUUUGAAAAACGGCUUUUCCUAGUACUCUCCUCCCGUUGAUCACCUCCUGAUGGCUGACGGAGAGGAGACCCUGCCUGUUUCCCAUACGUGCGUACUCCAGAGCAGGUGGGAAACAAGCGCCGCCCCAGCUUCCCUUCUGCCUGGUGGAGGACUCCCUUUCGGAGUCGGAAGAUCCAGAGUGCCAGGUCUGGGCAUCCUUUGUCCCUCGCAGGCACCUGACCUCUCAUUCCCUUGCUGAACAAACUCAGAAGCUCACUGGAGAGGUUGUACCACCCCUACAGGCAGCACCCACUCCUGUGCCAUCUUAGAGAGAUGGCCAGCUAGCCCCAGGAGAUGGUCCUUCUACCUCAUUGAUGCAUGCUGCCUGUCAGUUGCCUUUUUCUCUGAACAUACUUUAUUUUUUAUUUUGAUUUUUUUAUUUUGCUUUUUAGGGCCGCACUUGCGGCAUAGGGAGUUUCCCAGGCUAGCUGUCAAAUCAGAGCUACAGCUGCCGGCCUACCCCACAGCCACAGCAAUGCAGAUCCAAGCCUCAUCUGUGACCUACACCACAGCUCACAGCAACGCCAGAUCCUUAACUCACUGAGUGAGGCCAGUGAUUGAACCUGCAACCUCAUGGUUCCUAGUCCGAUUCUUUUCCACUGCGCCACAUUGGGAACUCCUGAAAAUAUUCUCAUUGUUAUAUUGAUGCAUGCUGCUUCCUCUGCCACAGCAAGGCUCUGUGAAUCCUUUCCUUUGAAGUGGUGAGUUACUUCCUGGCCAAGUCCCAUGCUGGAAGCUAGGGGUUCAGUAGUUUCCAAAGUAGGGUAGGUGAGGAGUGGCUCUCUGGUCGGGAGAACAGAUAUCAAACCAAAUACUCAAUCUAAGUGUUCACAAGAGACUUAUGUGCACUUAGAAGAAAUACAGAAUGCUAUGCAAGCACAAGAUAAGGGCCUGGGAUGGAGGCAUUGAGGGUAUUAGUUUCCUAUUGCUGCUGUAACAAAAUAGGUUUGGUGGCUUAAAACAAAUCUUGAGGUUCUGAAGGUCAGAAGUGUGAACUGGUUCUUACAGGGUUAAAAUCAAGAUGGUGGUAGGGCUGUGUUCCUCCUGGCAGCUCUAAGGGAGAAUCUGUUUUCUUAUCGUUUCCAUCUUCUAGAGGUUGCCUAAAUUCCUUGGUUUGUAAUUCCAUCACUCCAUCCGCCACUUUCAGAGUCUCAUCCCCUUCUCGGACUCUCUUGCCUUCUUGUCUUAAUAAGCACCCUUGUGAUUUCACCAUCUAGAUGAUCCGGGAUAAUCUUCACAUACCAAGAUUGUUAAUUUAACUGCAUCCGUGCAGUCUCUUCUGCCCUGGGACAGUCUCAGGUUUCAGGAAUUAGCAUGCAGACCUCGGUGGGGAGGGCACGAUUCUUCCUGCCGUCUGGAGUGAAAGAUGCGUUGAGAAAAAAAAAAAAAA
This 6909-nucleotide long non-coding RNA is filed under the name Sus scrofa (pig). RNAcentral's name for it is "lncRNA (ENSSSCG00055012963.1)". Lineage: Eukaryota; Metazoa; Chordata; Mammalia; Artiodactyla; Suidae. The record is from RNAcentral.